GGGACCCCGCUCGGGGAGCAGCGGGGCCCUUCUGCUCUAAUCUAGCUUCCGUACCCACGCCUUAGGAACUAGCCGAGUUCGAAAAACUCUCGGAUCAGGUGAAGAUCAGUGAGGAAGGUCAAGGGAUUGGUUCCAAAAUAAUCAAAAAGGUGGCUGAGGUGGCCUUGGAUAAGGGCUGCUCCCAAUUCCGCCUGGCCGUCCUGGACUGGAACCAGAGGGCUAUGGACUUGUACAAGGCCUUAGGAGCCCAAGAUCUGACGGAAGCUGAGGGCUGGCACUUCUUCUGCUUUCAAGGAGAGGCAAUGAGAAAGUUGGCAGGAAAGUGACGCCAUCCCUAGGGGGAUCUCUCUCUUGAGUUUCUCCUUCCCCACCAGCUCAAGCACUCUUCAGAGACUACGUCCACAGACACUGACGCUGAGGCCUCCCUGGAGGAAGGAGGGUUGGGGGUGCCUAUCCUCAAGUAUUGGAAGAGCAGAAUUGAGGGAGAGACCUUUCUUCCUUGUUGAGGGUGAAAAAUAAAUAAGAAAUAAGAAUUACAUGUC
Molecule: small RNA, 542 nt
Filed under: Pongo abelii (Sumatran orangutan)
Lineage: Eukaryota; Metazoa; Chordata; Mammalia; Primates; Hominidae
Description: retained intron
Source: RNAcentral